GAUGAACGCUGGCGGCGUGCCUAAUACAUGCAAGUCGAGCGAACGGACGAGAAUCUUGCUUCUCUGAUGUUAGCGGCGGACGGGUGAGUAACACGUGGAUAACCUCCCUAUAAGACUGGGAUAACUUCGGGAAACCGGAGCUACUACCGGAUAAUAUUUUGAACCGCAUGGUUCAAAAGUGAAAGACGGUCUUGCUGUCACUUCUAGAUGGAUCCGCGCUGCAUUAGCUAGUUGGUAAGGUAACGGCUUACCAAGGCAACGAUGCAUAGCCGACCUGAGAGGGGGAUAGGCCACACUGGAAGUGAGAGACGGUCCAGACUGCUACGGGAGGCAGCAGUAGGGAAUCGUCCGCAAAGGGCGAAAGCCUGACGGAGCAACGCCGGGUGAGUGAUGAGGGUCUUGGGAUCGUAAAACUCUGUGAUUAGGGAAGAACAUAUGUGUAAGUAACUGUGGACAUCUUGACGGUACCUAAUCAGAAAGCCACGGCUAACUACGUG
Molecule: ribosomal RNA, 497 nt
Filed under: uncultured bacterium
Lineage: Bacteria
Description: partial 16S ribosomal RNA
Rfam family: Bacterial small subunit ribosomal RNA
Source: RNAcentral